UUUUGCAAGGUUUGUGGUUGAAAGUCCAUGCCAGACGCAGGCGAAGGGAUCCACGUAAGCUGAUAUAAAAUAUAUCAGUGAGCAUAGUGCGUUUUAGAUGUAAGACCUACCGCAAAAAGCGAGAGAAUUAUUAGUGAGGCAAACCCGAGCAAAACUUCCAGUAGGCGAGUGUGGGGGGAAAGACCAGUGUCAACUUGCAAAA
Molecule: regulatory RNA element, 202 nt
Organism: Peptostreptococcaceae bacterium AS15
Lineage: Bacteria; Bacillati; Bacillota; Clostridia; Peptostreptococcales; Peptostreptococcaceae
Rfam family: raiA RNA
Source: Rfam